This 1383-nucleotide ribosomal RNA is filed under the name Jeotgalibacillus sp. R-1-5s-1. RNAcentral describes it as "partial 23S ribosomal RNA". It matches the Rfam family "Bacterial large subunit ribosomal RNA", at positions 1544 to 2925 of the family's 2925-position model. The record is from RNAcentral. Lineage: Bacteria; Bacillati; Bacillota; Bacilli; Caryophanales; Caryophanaceae.
UUUCCGUGUAAGCGAAGCUGUGAUGACGAGGGAAAUAAAGUACCGAAGUCUUUGAUUCCACACUGCCAAGAAAAGCCUCUAGCGAGAUGCAAGGUGCCCGUACCGCAAACCGACACAGGUAGGCGAGGAGAGAAUCCUAAGGUGAGCGAGUGAACUCUCGUUAAGGAACUCGGCAAAAUGACCCCGUAACUUCGGGAGAAGGGGUGCUCUAUUAGGGUGCAAGCCCGAGAGAGCCGCAGUGAAUAGGCCCAGGCGACUGUUUAGCAAAAACACAGGUCUCUGCGAAACCGUAAGGUGAAGUAUAGGGGCUGACACCUGCCCGGUGCUGGAAGGUUAAGAGGAGUGCUUAGCGCAAGCGAAGGUGCGAAUUGAAGCCCCAGUAAACGGCGGCCGUAACUAUAACGGUCCUAAGGUAGCGAAAUUCCUUGUCGGGUAAGUUCCGACCCGCACGAAAGGUGUAACGAUCUGGGCACUGUCUCAACGAGAGACUCGGUGAAAUUAUAGUACCUGUGAAGAUGCAGGUUACCCGCGACAGGACGGAAAGACCCCGUGGAGCUUUACUGCAGCCUGAUAUUGAAUUUUGGCACAGCUUGUACAGGAUAGGUAGGAGCCUUAGAGACCGGAGCGCCAGCUUCGGUGGAGGCGCUGGUGGGAUACUACCCCCGCUGUGUUGAACUUCUAACCCGCACCCGUAAUCCGGGUGGGAGACAGUGUCAGGCAGGCAGUUUGACUGGGGCGGUCGCCUCCUAAAGUGUAACGGAGGCGCCCAAAGGUUCCCUCAGAAUGGUUGGAAAUCAUUCGUAGAGUGUAAAGGCAUAAGGGAGCUUGACUGCGAGACCUACAAGUCGAGCAGGGUCGAAAGACGGGCUUAGUGAUCCGGUGGUUCCGCAUGGAAGGGCCAUCGCUCAACGGAUAAAAGCUACCCCGGGGAUAACAGGCUUAUCUCCCCCAAGAGUCCACAUCGACGGGGAGGUUUGGCACCUCGAUGUCGGCUCAUCGCAUCCUGGGGCUGUAGUCGGUCCCAAGGGUUGGGCUGUUCGCCCAUUAAAGCGGUACGCGAGCUGGGUUCAGAACGUCGUGAGACAGUUCGGUCCCUAUCCGUCGUGGGCGCAGGAAAUUUGAGAGGAGCUGUCCUUAGUACGAGAGGACCGGGAUGGACGCACCGCUGGUGUACCAGUUGUCAAGCCAUUGGCAUCGCUGGGUAGCUAUGUGCGGACGGGAUAAGUGCUGAAAGCAUCUAAGCAUGAAGCCCCCCUCAAGAUGAGAUUUCCCACACGCAAGUGGUAAGAUCCCUGAAAGAUGAUCAGGUAGAUAGGUUCGAGGUGGAAGCAUGGCGACAUGUGUAGCUGACGAAUACUAAUCGAUCGAGGACUUAACCAAAUU